ACACCUAAUUGCUAUCGAUUAGAAUUCUAGACCAUGAUUAGCUCUGGUUUUCUUUGCUUUUGGGGUUAGGACCCGCAUGCUUGUGUAUUGAGAAAAUUCUGUAGGAUAAGCGUGGAAUAGUCCAUCCUAUAAAUUACAAAAUGCAAACCCAUGUCUCAAAGAGCUGUAGGAUAAGCGUGAAAUAGUCCAUCCUAUAAACUACAAAAUGCAAAACCCAUGUCUCGAAGAGCCCUGCUCCGGCCGGCAUCGCGGGCAAGCGAGCCCCACGUUGAGGCGUGGUUGGGCUUGAGCGAGCUUCCCGUGCGCGCGGCUCGCGCACAGGCCUGGAUCCCUGUGUUCUGGCUCAGCUCAGCACCCACGCGCGUGCGCGCGACGGAUGGCGUUUGGCACCGGCAUCGCCGCACCGCGCGUUAAAAAACGACCCGCUCCUCCGCUCUCGCUCGCUCAGCCCCAACUCGGCCACUCCUUUUUUUUUUUUUGGAAACCUGCCACUCCUUGGAGUUCCUAGAAGAUGGCACUGUUUGGAGGCACCAAAAGGCAUCGUCAAGCUGUCAGGCCUGCUUAUAUAUGCACUGCUAGUACGGAGUACUAUAAACUAGUACUCGUAAUACCGAACGUUUGGAUAAAGUACAGCUCAUCUUCACAAAGAUGUUGGAGUUCGGAUCGAAUGCCCGAGCUGCACAAUGCGCUGCAUAGAUCGGAGACCGACCGAUGACUAGAUGAGCACCUGUUGUGCCAACGGAUAACAUGGUUAUGUGUCUGUUGUAUGUGCUCCCCGCCCAAUCACACCUGCUGCUGACGUGGAAGGGAAUCGUACUCAUUUGGAGUCAAAACCGUUGUUUACCUCCACCGAUCGAAGAAUCUGAGGUGGAGUGGCAGCCUGGCUUGCUCAAUCGACCAAUGGGACUGUAUACACGCUUGAAUGCUUGAUCCUUUGAGAGUCAAUGAUUGUUCCCGGUCGCUUGGAUUGGAUCAUUCCAAUUUAAACAAGUUAUGUUCCCUGGUUCUUGGGCGAGCUCGAGAGGUGUCUCCACCGAAGUAGAAAUCGCGUUUACUUUCCUACGCGAUCAGCUCACGGCUCAUCAGUGAUCGCAAUACAUGCAUGAUGCACACGUCCCAUUGGGCUGAGAUCGCAUUUUAAUUAGGCCCCCUUUAAACUGUGACCGAUAGUAUAGGUCGCAUGGCAAACCGUUUGAAAGGGCAUGUACCUAUUAAAGGCUAAGUUCCUAUUAAAAAAAGCUACAUAUAUCCAAAUGGAUAUAGAGGCCGGGUAAAAAAAUAUUCUUCUAAAAAAAAGAUUCAAAACAAAUUUUCCAAGAGAUUAAAACUCUUGCUUACUUUCCUAUAAAAUAUCUAUAGAAUUAUCCAUUCCAUAGGAUUUUUAAAGGAAAUGAUAUGAUUCAAUCAUUUGUUUUAAAGGGUUUUGUAGAAUUUUUCCUAU
This 1441-nucleotide small RNA is filed under the name Oryza sativa Japonica Group (Japanese rice). Its description in RNAcentral is "sRNA Os04g0571700". The record is from RNAcentral. Lineage: Eukaryota; Viridiplantae; Streptophyta; Magnoliopsida; Poales; Poaceae.